AAAAUAGUUAUACAUUUCGGGCACUAGAAAUUAAUAAAGUGAGAGCUCUAGGGAAAUAAGAUUCUACAGGAGAUAUAGAUUGCACAAAGGUUCUUCUGAUACGCAAAGAGCUAUGCUAUUUUUCAUGAUAUUUAGACUUAGUACCCUGGGGUUAAAUCUUCAUCACACUUUAAUAUGCAAAGAGCUUCACAGUACGGUGUGGAUGGUGUAUGUGUAUGCGUGCACACAUGCAAGUGUGCACGGGGUCUCAUAAUACCACUGUUUUUAGGCACCAACUAGACUCACAGAUGAUCCUGUGGAUCAAACAUUGGUUCAUGAUACCACUGAGACUAUCAUUCAGAGGAAGGUACUACAAGUUCCGGCCGAGCUAUUCAUUCUUAUCAUGCUUCGUGUGUUGUUUGGCUCACUCAAAGAUGAGAUGUUCAUGAUAUUAUCAACUCUUUUGUGAAUGGCCAGGGUUAACAAGGUAAUUGUUGCUGCCAGUAUGUUCUGCAUCUAGAUGCACUCCAAUGUGCUGUCAAUCUCCUGCCCUCAACCAUUUGCAACAGAAGAACAAGAAUGAAUGUUGAAAAACUGCACCUCCCUGUAUGUUUUUGCUCUGCAAAUGGCAUCAUGCCUCACCAUUCAUGAUGGACUGAUGGAAGUGCCAUUCCAGGAACAUGGAGUGACAACACUGAUGGGGCAGUAUAGAAAUAGAAAUAGUAUAUGAGAUAGAAAUGGAAACAAACAAACAGACAAACAGAUAUAUGGUGGGCCAUGCUAUAAUACAUAUGUUAAUCUUAAAGGUACCAGAGGACAAUCUACUGCUUUACUUGCAACCAACUAACAUAGUUGUCCAUUCAGAAUGUCUUCUUCAGCUAGUUGUUUGCAGGCGGUGGCAGCGGCAGGAGCGAGAAAGUCAUUCUUUUCCCUGCUCACAUCUCAUUUGUGAUCACAUACAUACAUACACAGACAGAGAGAGGCACACACUUGCCUCUGCUUUCCUUUCCGCGGCUUCCCCCCCCUCCACCACCGCUACCCUGCUCACCCCCCCUCCUCUAGGUUCCCUCACUCCUCCCUCUAGCUGGAGUCUUGUCACUGCAAUGUGCCACCCACCUGAAUCUG
This 1104-nucleotide long non-coding RNA is filed under the name Pogona vitticeps (central bearded dragon). RNAcentral describes it as "lncRNA (ENSPVIG00000013491.1)". The record is from RNAcentral. Lineage: Eukaryota; Metazoa; Chordata; Lepidosauria; Squamata; Agamidae.